GUUACACUGUUACUUUUAUUUUGUAUUAAAGAUUAAACUCUUUUUAACUGACUGUGCGCCUACGGCUCUGUCCUAUUCUAAAUAGGUACGUACCACUGGUCACAAUAAGAAACUAGAAAUAAAUGCGCUGUCAAUAUAAACAACUAAGAGAUGAACACACGUGAGUGUUCACAGAUGCUCUGACAAAGACUGAGGAAAAGACACAGCAGGACUAUUUAUACAUGACUGGGAAUCAGAAACAGGUGAAAACAAACAGGAAAAUCAUAAAGGAGGAAGAAAAAUAACACAAAGGAUGAAAGAAACCAAACCUUCAAAUUAAAGAGGAAAUAAUCAAAAAACUAAACAGAGACGAGGAAGAAGCACUCAGAGGAAGACGAUGAAAGACCAUGACAGUCAUAUAUAAAUAAAUCUGUAUCAAUGGUACUUUGUCCAGUUUCUUUCACUUGUUACUCUUGUGUAUGUGAAGCUUUAUUCAUUUAUAACUUUAACAACUUUUAGAGGUUUUUUUCAAGAGGACACUGAAGCAGACAGCACACCAGGCCACUAUAAAUAACUGAGAGUAAGAAUUCAUAAUAAGACUCUGACUGACCUGUGGUUGAGUCUGUUUUCACAUUCGAGUUACCUGAAUUUACCUUAAACUCAUCACGCUGUGCUGUAACAAAUUCAUGAUAAAUAAAUGAAAUAAAAUGGCAGAGUAGCUCUAUGAAGGUAACAGACUAAUGUAAGAUCAGAUCAGUAUUGCAUUGACAUAUUUUACUUUAGUAUUUCUUUUAAUGUUUUAUCCAUAUGUGUAGCUUUUGAUGAGGAUUUUGGGAACUCCAAGAGUUAAUACAAAAAAGGACACUAAGGCAGUCAGCAC
Molecule: long non-coding RNA, 859 nt
Organism: Oreochromis niloticus (Nile tilapia)
Lineage: Eukaryota; Metazoa; Chordata; Actinopteri; Cichliformes; Cichlidae
Exons: 3
Source: RefSeq, a predicted model, not a curated record